RNAcentral lists this ribosomal RNA (447 nucleotides) under Arthrobacter sp. R-44261. RNAcentral describes it as "bacterial SSU rRNA". It matches the Rfam family "Bacterial small subunit ribosomal RNA", at positions 28 to 477 of the family's 1533-position model. The record is from RNAcentral. Lineage: Bacteria; Bacillati; Actinomycetota; Actinomycetes; Micrococcales; Micrococcaceae.
GAUGAACGCUGGCGGCGUGCUUAACACAUGCAAGUCGAACGAUGAACCUCACUUGUGGGGGGAUUAGUGGCGAACGGGUGAGUAACACGUGAGUAACCUGCCCUUGACUCUGGGAUAAGCCUGGGAAACCGGGUCUAAUACUGGAUACGACCUUCUGGCGCAUGCCAUGUUGGUGGAAAGCUUUUGCGGUUUUGGAUGGACUCGCGGCCUAUCAGCUUGUUGGUGGGGUAAUGGCCUACCAAGGCGACGACGGGUAGCCGGCCUGAGAGGGUGACCGGCCACACUGGGACUGAGACACGGCCCAGACUCCUACGGGAGGCAGCAGUGGGGAAUAUUGCACAAUGGGCGCAAGCCUGAUGCAGCGACGCCGCGUGAGGGAUGAAGGCCUUCGGGUUGUAAACCUCUUUCAGUAGGGAAGAAGCCGGCCUUUCGGGGUUGGUGACGGUA